GUGCUCGCUUCGGCAGCAGAUAUACUGAAAUUGUAAUAAUAUAGAGAAGAUUAUCAUUGCCCCUGUGCAAGGAUAACAGCAAAUUCAUGAAGCAUUCCAUAUUUUU
Arvicola amphibius (Eurasian water vole) is the source of this 106-nucleotide small nuclear RNA. NCBI's taxonomy places the organism in Eukaryota, Metazoa, Chordata, Mammalia, Rodentia, Cricetidae. The record is from RefSeq and is a predicted model, not a curated record.